Molecule: unclassified non-coding RNA, 313 nt
Filed under: plant metagenome
Description: partial contains small subunit ribosomal RNA, internal transcribed spacer 1, and 5.8S ribosomal RNA
Source: RNAcentral
UUUCCGUAGGUGAACCUGCGGAAGGAUCAUUAUUGAAUGAACUUGGUAGUGGUUGUAGCUGGCUCUCUCGAGAGCAUGUGCACACCCGCCAUCUUUAUCUUUCCACCUGUGCACUUCUUGUAGACUUUGGGAUUUGAAAACUUAUCCGGGGCAACUCGGUCGGGAGGAGCUGCUGUAGCAAUACGGCUCUCCUUGACAAGUCUUCAAGGUCUAUGUUUUUCAUAUACCCCAUAGUAUGUAACAGAAUGUAUACAAAUGAGCCUUAGUGCUUAUAAAACUUAUACAACUUUCAACAACGGAUCUCUUGGCUCUC